RNAcentral lists this ribosomal RNA (209 nucleotides) under Clostridioides difficile. RNAcentral's name for it is "partial 16S ribosomal RNA". It matches the Rfam family "Bacterial small subunit ribosomal RNA", at positions 62 to 280 of the family's 1533-position model. Lineage: Bacteria; Bacillati; Bacillota; Clostridia; Peptostreptococcales; Peptostreptococcaceae. The record is from RNAcentral.
UUGAGCGAUUUACUUCGGUAAAGAGCGGCGGACGGGUGAGUAACGCGUGGGUAACCUACCCUGUACACACGGAUAACAUACCGAAAGGUAUGCUAAUACGGGAUAAUAUAUUUGAGAGGCAUCUCUUGAAUAUCAAAGGUGAGCCAGUACAGGAUGGACCCGCGUCUGAUUAGCUAGUUGGUAAGGUAACGGCUUACCAAGGCGACGAU